Ictalurus punctatus (channel catfish) is the source of this 865-nucleotide long non-coding RNA. The record is from Ensembl. NCBI's taxonomy places the organism in Eukaryota, Metazoa, Chordata, Actinopteri, Siluriformes, Ictaluridae.
CGUUCCUACACGAUAGCGUGUGGAGAACAUUCUAGCCAGGAAGCGGGUCUGAUCUUCGAGGUACGAAGAUUACGUGCACGAAUAUACUGCCGUUACUUCGACUUUAAUUACCCACAAUCCUCCAGAACAGAUCGAAUUGCGUGCACACGUACACCGAUGUAAUCAUCGCGCCUAAAGCGUUGGGUUAGAAAAAAGGUAUGAUACCUGGCUGGGGAAAGCUGUUAGGAAAAUCUGAUCUUUUUCCGCUCGACUGUACGCCUUCAGCCUCGGUUCCUCCAUCUGAUUCUACUUAAAGCCUCGCUGCUGGAUCUUGAUUAACGCAAAUCAGGUGUGUUUGUGUAGGGAGCGAGCCAGGGCCUUCGCCGAUGCCUUUUUUUUUUUUUUUCCACGGAAAAACGUAAAGGAGAGACCGAUUAGGAGCAUGCAGAGAUGCUGGAGGGAGAGAAACAAAAUACAUCUGAGGUUUGAUUAAUACCGGUACUGUCCCUAAAACAGGAUUCGCAGACGACAACUAAACGCGAAUAUUCGCCACAGGGGGUGUUUGUGGACGUGUAUAACUGUUCGAUCUGACAACGCGGAGGGAUGUUGGGACAUCGUGCCAGUCACAGGCAGCGUUUUUAAAAGGCUUACGUAAACACAAACGAGGCUAAACACAGCACCGUCUGGACAAGCGUUCAUAUUAAUAGCCCCAGUGUUAAUAUUACUGCUAAUGUAAACAGAAUUAAAUGGUUGCUAGUGUCCCGAUGGUUUGGGAAACCGCAAACCAGACAUCUGGGAACAGGGACAGUCUUAAAGGAGGUGUUUACACUGGAGUAUCGAAAGACAGAAAUAUAACAGGAAGUGGUGAUCUGCAGGGUCCAGGCAC